CACAGAGCCGGGAGCUGAGCUCCUUUUGCCACACUGCAGCUUCCCGCAGCCGUCUGUCUUUUCACAUGGCGGUGUGUAUAUGUCCAUCGAAGAGUUGACUCAUUGGAAAGGACUCUGAUGCUGGGAGGGAUUGGGGGCAGGAGGAGAAGGGGACGACAGAGGAUGAGAUGGCUGGAUGGCAUCACUGACUGGAUGAACGUUACCAUUGUUACUCCAAAGAGAACUCCCAGAAUUAGGCUAUUUAUCAUUUGAAAUUGUAGCCCCGAAAGAUCAAAACUCCGUCUCCUUGGCUCUUUGACAACCUGCGCAGAACUGAGGCUGUAACCAGGACAUCUGUACCAGGCCCCAGCCAUUUGGUACAUCACCCACAACCAUCCCUUUAAGUGAGGUUGCCCAGGCCACCACCCUUACGUGAAUGGAAGCCCACCUUGUAUCACUCGGGCCCCGUGUUCAUCACAGCUAAAUGGACCUGGAGACAGCACCUGACAUCAGAUGAACCCCUCCGUGUGCUGGCCUGUGGCCUGUGACAUGCUGUGACACUCGAUAGCUUCUCAGGGAGCUGAACUGAGGCAUGGAAAGGCCUUGACAGUUACCAGUGGGCACUGACCACGCCAAGUUUCCAUCAGGUAGUGCUGGAUUCCAAUAGAGUCCAAGGCAGGCUGACAUUAGGUCAUAUAGAAGACAGAGGUGCAGGAUUAGAAA
Bos taurus (domestic cattle) is the source of this 702-nucleotide long non-coding RNA. The record is from Ensembl. NCBI's taxonomy places the organism in Eukaryota, Metazoa, Chordata, Mammalia, Artiodactyla, Bovidae.